RNAcentral lists this ribosomal RNA (367 nucleotides) under uncultured archaeon. Its description in RNAcentral is "bacterial SSU rRNA". It matches the Rfam family "Archaeal small subunit ribosomal RNA", at positions 451 to 818 of the family's 1478-position model. The record is from RNAcentral.
UCUGGUGUCAGCCGCCGCGGUAAUACCAGCUCUCCGAGUGGUAGGGAUGAUUAUUGGGCCUAAAGCGUUCGUAGCCGGCUUGGCAAGUCUCUCGUUAAAUCCAGUGACCUAAUCGCUGGGCUGCGGGAGAUACUGUCAGGCUUGGGAGCGGAAGAGGUCGACGGUAUUCUCGGGGUAGGGGUGAAAUCCUAUAAUCCCGGGAGGACCACCAGUGGCGAAGGCUGUCGGCUAGAACGCGCUCGACGGUGAGGGACGAAAGCUGGGGGAGCGAACCGGAUUAGAUACCCGGGUAGUCCCAGCUGUAAACGAUGCGGGCUAGGUGUUGGGGUGGCUACGAGCCACUUCAGUGCCGCAGGGAAGCCAUUAA